GGCCUCGUAGCUCAGUUUGCUAGAGCGUUGGCUGUAUUAAAGCCUUCCCCUUGCUGACGUGGGUUCGAAUCCCACCGAGACCG
Schistocephalus solidus is the source of this 83-nucleotide non-coding RNA. Lineage: Eukaryota; Metazoa; Platyhelminthes; Cestoda; Diphyllobothriidea; Diphyllobothriidae. The record is from Rfam.